AGAGUUUGAUCAUGGCUCAGAGCGAACGCUGGCGGCAUGCCUAACACAUGCAAGUCGCGCGGCCAUGGUGAGCAAUCGUCAUGGCAGCGGCGGACGGGUGAGUAACGCGUAGGAACGUGUCCUGAGGUGGGGGAUAACCCUGGGAAACUAGGGCUAAUACCGCAUGAUAUGGUGACAUCAAAGCAGUGAUGCGCCUUGGGAGCGGCCUGCGUCCGAUUAGCUAGUUGGUGUGGUGACGGCGCACCAAGGCUCUGAUCGGUAGCUGGUCUGAGAGGAUGAUCAGCCACACUGGGACUGAGACACGGCCCAGACUCCUACGGGAGGCAGCAGUGGGGAAUAUUGGACAAUGGGCGCAAGCCUGAUCCAGCAAUGCCGCGUGUGUGAAGAAGGUCUUCGGAUUGUAAAGCACUUUCGGCGGGGACGAUGAUGACGGUACCCGCAGAAGAAGCCCCGGCUAACUUCGUGCCAGCAGCCGCGGUAAUUC
RNAcentral lists this ribosomal RNA (484 nucleotides) under uncultured bacterium. RNAcentral's name for it is "bacterial SSU rRNA". It matches the Rfam family "Bacterial small subunit ribosomal RNA", at positions 8 to 526 of the family's 1533-position model. The record is from RNAcentral.